ACUUGCCUACGGGGGGCAGCAGGGAAUCUUCCACAAUGGGCGAAAGCCUGAUGGAGCAACGCCGCGUGGGUGAAGAAGGUCUUCGGAUCGUAAAACCCUGUUGUUAGAGGAGAAAGUGCGUGAGAGUAACUGUUCACGUUUCGACGGUAUCUAACCAGAAAGCCACGGCUAACUACGUGCCAGCAGCCGCGGUAAUACGUAGGUGGCAAGCGUUAUCCGGAUUUAUUGGGCGUAAAGGGAACGCAGGCGGUCUUUUAAGUCUGAUGUGAAAGCCUUCGGCUUAACCGGAGCAGGGCAUUGGAAAG
This 305-nucleotide ribosomal RNA is filed under the name uncultured bacterium. Its description in RNAcentral is "bacterial SSU rRNA". It matches the Rfam family "Bacterial small subunit ribosomal RNA", at positions 333 to 633 of the family's 1533-position model. The record is from RNAcentral.